CCCCGUAAAGAAGGCCGGCUUUGCCUAACAAACAUCAUAGCGCGGAAUCGGUCUGGAUCGGAACCCUCCUGGCAGCCACCGGCUCAUCCGAGCGCUUCCUUCGUAGAAUGUGAAGAGAGUGGAGUUCAGCAAUCCUGUUGCUGAGCUGGGUAAUGCUGAGUCGCUGACUGAAGUGGGAGUUUUGUGCUCUUCCUCCGUGAAUGCCCCCCCCGGCCCCCGCAUCCCGAAUUAACCAGGCCCUCCCCACUUUGAUGCCUCUCUAUAUAUAAACGAGAUCUCUCAUCCAGUUUCCAAUUCCCAUUCACAAACCGCAUAUACAUAAACCUUACAUACAAAAAAGGCAAACCCCAUCCAAUCCAAUAUGCCGACCCUCCACGCGCUCCACCCCACCCUCCCCGCCAGUACCCCCGCCAUAAUCAGCGCGCCAAUGCUCGCCAUCGCCUCACCCAACCUCGCCAUCUCCGUCACCCGCGCCGGCGGCCUCGGCUUCAUCGGCGCCGGCUUCGACGUCUCUAGCCUUGAAACUCUCCUCUCCCAAGCCGCCGAACUGGUCUCGAAGCCCUCCUCCUCCCCACCCAUCCCCAACUACACCUACAAGAAAGACGACGACGACGACGACGAUACCUCCUCCUCCCCCCUCCCCAUCGGCAUCGGCCUGCUCAACUGGGGCGC
RNAcentral lists this small RNA (672 nucleotides) under Histoplasma ohiense. RNAcentral's name for it is "hypothetical lncRNA". Lineage: Eukaryota; Fungi; Ascomycota; Eurotiomycetes; Onygenales; Ajellomycetaceae. The record is from RNAcentral.